Molecule: non-coding RNA, 162 nt
Filed under: Eutreptiella gymnastica
Lineage: Eukaryota; Euglenozoa; Euglenophyceae; Eutreptiales; Eutreptiaceae
Source: RNAcentral
GGAUGUGGGUGAAGGGGGAAAUGGGGGGAAGAGGGAGCAGUUGCGGAGGAGACAGGGGUGGCUUGGAUGCUCUGCGGCAGGAGGACAAGCGGCUGCGGUCUCAGCGCCGCCAGCCAACGACAACGCGCAGGAGUCGCUCCUCGCGGGGGUCCCAGGAACGCC